RNAcentral lists this ribosomal RNA (537 nucleotides) under uncultured bacterium. Its description in RNAcentral is "bacterial SSU rRNA". It matches the Rfam family "Bacterial small subunit ribosomal RNA", at positions 777 to 1315 of the family's 1533-position model. The record is from RNAcentral.
AAUAGAUACCCUGGUAGUCCAUGCCGUAAACGUUGGGAACUAGAUGUAGGGUCCAUUCCACGGAUUCUGUGUCGCAGCUAACGCAUUAAGUUCCCCGCCUGGGGAGUACGGCCGCAAGGCUAAAACUCAAAGGAAUUGACGGGGGCCCGCACAAGCGGCGGAGCAUGCGGAUUAAUUCGAUGCAACGCGAAGAACCUUACCAAGGCUUGACAGAUACCGGAAACGGCUGGAAACAGUCGCCCCGCAAGGUCGGUAUACAGGUGGUGCAUGGUUGUCGUCAGCUCGUGUCGUGAGAUGUUGGGUUAAGUCCCGCAACGAGCGCAACCCUCGUUCUUUGUUGCCAGCACGUCAUGGUGGGAACUCAAAGGAGACUGCCGGGGUCAACUCGGAGGAAGGUGGGGAUGACGUCAAAUCAUCAUGCCCCUUAUGUCUUGGGCUUCACGCAUGCUACAAUGGCCGGUACAAAGGGCUGCAAUACCGUAAGGUGAGCGAAUCCCAAAAAGCCGGUCUCAGUUCGGAUUGAGGUCUGCAACUCGA